UACGUAGGGUGCGAGCGUUGUUCGGAAUUACUGGGCGUAAAGCGUGCGUAGGCUGCUUUGGAAGUCAGAUGUGAAAUCCCUGGGCUCAACCUAGGAACUGCGUUUGAAACUACAAGGCUAGAGUGUAGCAGAGGGGGGUAGAAUUCCACGUGUAGCAGUGAAAUGCGUAGAGAUGUGGAGGAAUACCAAUGGCGAAGGCAGCCCCCUGGGUUAACACUGACGCUCAUGCGCGAAAGCGUGGGGAGCAAACAGG
RNAcentral lists this ribosomal RNA (253 nucleotides) under uncultured bacterium. Its description in RNAcentral is "partial 16S ribosomal RNA". It matches the Rfam family "Bacterial small subunit ribosomal RNA", at positions 524 to 776 of the family's 1533-position model. The record is from RNAcentral.